This 271-nucleotide ribosomal RNA is filed under the name uncultured bacterium. RNAcentral's name for it is "partial 16S ribosomal RNA". It matches the Rfam family "Bacterial small subunit ribosomal RNA", at positions 83 to 354 of the family's 1533-position model. The record is from RNAcentral.
CUAUGUCGGCGACCGGCGCACGGGUGCGUAACGCGUAUGCAACCUACCCAUUACAGGGGGAUAACACUGAGAAAUCGGUACUAAUACCCCAUAACAUCCAGGGAGGCAUCUUCUUGGGUUGAAAACUCCGGUGGUAAUGGAUGGGCAUGCGUUGUAUUAGUUAGUUGGUGGGGUAACGGCUCACCAAGACAACGAUACAUAGGGGGACUGAGAGGUUAACCCCCCCACAUUGGUACUGAGACACGGACCAAACUCCUACGGGAGGCAGCAG